This 450-nucleotide long non-coding RNA is filed under the name Bos taurus (domestic cattle). RNAcentral's name for it is "long non-coding RNA NONBTAT016190". Lineage: Eukaryota; Metazoa; Chordata; Mammalia; Artiodactyla; Bovidae. The record is from RNAcentral.
GACAGUCUUAAAACCUGCCCCCCAAAAAAACAAUUUUAAAUUUUAGUUGUGGCAAUUUUCUGCAAACCAAAAUGAAAUACAUCCGUUUAAUGUAACAACUCAUUUUUUAAAAUGCUUGUUUUUUUCACAGUGAAGGGUGUGCAUAUGUGUGUGGCUUUCCAUUGCAGUGCAGUUUUAAUGCUGUGUCUGCCUUUAAAAUAGCAAGGGAAAACUUAAGUGACAAAGGAAAUUCAUAGUUUUUAAGUUGUGUGAUGUCUGUGGAUUGUGAUUAUAUAAGGUGAAAAAUACCACUUACAAAUUAAGCAGAGUAUUUUUAAAGCUUUGAUUUGAAUUUUUGCUUCAACUUGGUAUUAACUGAAAUAGAAAAGAAGGAAGAAAAUCUAUUAAAACCAAUAAGGUUUUGUAUUUGUUAAAAUACUUAAGAGUUCAAUAAACAUGCACUGGAUUGUA